RNAcentral lists this ribosomal RNA (252 nucleotides) under uncultured prokaryote. RNAcentral describes it as "partial 16S ribosomal RNA". It matches the Rfam family "Bacterial small subunit ribosomal RNA", at positions 525 to 777 of the family's 1533-position model. The record is from RNAcentral.
ACGUAGGGGGCGAGCGUUGUCCGGAAUUACUGGGCGUAAAGGGUACGUAGGCGGCUAGGUAAGUCAGGUGUGAAAUCCAUGGGCUCAACCCAUGUAAGCACUUGAAACUGCUUAGCUUGAGUUAAGGAGAGGAAAGCGGAAUUCCUGGUGUAGCGGUGAAAUGCGUAGAUAUCAGGAGGAACACCAGUGGCGAAGGCGGCUUUCUGGCCUUGGACUGACGCUGAGGUACGAAAGCGUGGGGAGCAAACAGGA